AGAGUUUGAUCAUGGCUCAGGACGAACGCUGGCGGCGCGCCUCAUACAUGCAAGUCGAACGAGGUCCAUGGGAGCUUGCUCCCGGAAGACUUAGUGGCGAACGGGUGAGUAACACGUGAGAAACCUACCCCGGAGUGGGGAAUAACCCGAGGAAACUCGGACUAAUACCGCAUACCUUCCAACGGUCGCAUGGCCGAUGGAAGAAAGAAUUUCGCUCUGGGAGGGUCUCGCGGCCUAUCAGCUUGUUGGCGGGGUAACGGCCCACCAAGGCAACGACGGGUAGCUGGUUUGAGAGAACGAUCAGCCACACUGGAACUGAGACACGGUCCAGACUUCUACGGAAGGCAGCAGUAGGGAAUCUUGCGCAAUGGGCGAAAGCCUGACGCAGCGACGCCGCGUGCGGGAUGACGGCCCUAGUGGUUGUAAACCGCUUUCAGCAGGGACGAAAAUGACGGUACCUGCAGAAGAAGUCCCGGCUAACUACGUGCCAGCAGCCGCGGUAAUACGUAGGGGACAAGCGUUGUCCGGAUUCAUUGGGCGUAAAGAGCUCGUAGGCGGUUCAGUAAGUUGGGUGUGAAAGCUCCGGGCUCAACCCGGAGAGGCCACCCAAUACUGCUGUGACUAGAGUCCAGUAGAGGAGCGUGGAACUCCUGGUGUAGCGGUGAAAUGCGCAGAUAUCAGGAAGAACACCAGCAGCGAAGGCGGCGCUCUGGGCUGGAACUGACGCUGAGGAGCGAAAGCAUGGGUAGCAAACAGGAUUAGAUACCCUGGUAGU
RNAcentral lists this ribosomal RNA (775 nucleotides) under uncultured bacterium. RNAcentral's name for it is "bacterial SSU rRNA". It matches the Rfam family "Bacterial small subunit ribosomal RNA", at positions 8 to 794 of the family's 1533-position model. The record is from RNAcentral.